CAGCUUGCUGCUUCGCUGACGAGUGGCGGACGGGUGAGUAAUGUCUGGGAAACUGCCUGAUGGAGGGGGAUAACAGUUGGAAACGGCUGCUAAUACCGCAUAAGCGCACAGUACCGCAUGGUACGGUGUGAAAAACUCCGGUGGUGUGAGAUGGACCCGCGUCUGAUUAGCUAGUUGGCAGGGCAACGGCCUACCAAGGCGACGAUCAGUAGCCGACCUGAGAGGGUGACCGGCCACAUUGGGACUGAGACACGGCCCAAACUCC
Molecule: ribosomal RNA, 265 nt
Filed under: uncultured Lachnospiraceae bacterium
Lineage: Bacteria; Bacillati; Bacillota; Clostridia; Lachnospirales; Lachnospiraceae
Description: partial 16S ribosomal RNA
Rfam family: Bacterial small subunit ribosomal RNA
Source: RNAcentral